ACAAAAUAGCUAGAUAUAAACCAGAGUCAUCUGAAGCUACAUAAGAUAUGCAUUGUUAUAUACUUUAUCAAAUUCGAAACUUUAUACCCUGGAAGAGAAGCAUGAAAGAUCAGAGCAAGGGUUAUCAGAAGGGGAGCUCCAUAGUUGGCAGUUAUGAUCUUGAAUUUGUUGUAUUUGCUAAAGGAUUGUCUGCCACUGACAUCAAUGAUUAUAUAACUUUUAUCACAUAAUUAGUCUGAGCAAAUUGUUGAACAUAUUGAUGCACGGGUAACAGGAUAAUUUUCCUGUGUUUGUAUAAAUAUUUUCUUUUAGUUUCAAA
Lotus japonicus is the source of this 319-nucleotide long non-coding RNA. RefSeq lists it as uncharacterized. The transcript has 2 exons. Lineage: Eukaryota; Viridiplantae; Streptophyta; Magnoliopsida; Fabales; Fabaceae. The record is from RefSeq and is a predicted model, not a curated record.